UACGUAGGGGGCGAGCGUUGUCCGGAUUCAUUGGGCGUAAAGCGCGCGUAGGCGGCUUCGUAAGUCGGCCGUGAAAUCUCCAGGCUUAACCUGGAGGGGUCGGGCGAGACUGCGGGGCUCGAGGUGGGCAGAGGGCAGUGGAAUUCCGGGUGUAGUGGUGGAAUGCGUAGAGAUCCGGAGGAACACCAGUGGCGAAGGCGGCUGCCUGGGCCUGGCCUGACGCUGAGGCGCGAAAGCGUGGGGAGCGAGCCGG
Molecule: ribosomal RNA, 253 nt
Filed under: uncultured bacterium
Lineage: Bacteria
Description: partial 16S ribosomal RNA
Rfam family: Bacterial small subunit ribosomal RNA
Source: RNAcentral